Molecule: unclassified non-coding RNA, 332 nt
Filed under: soil metagenome
Description: partial contains 5.8S ribosomal RNA, internal transcribed spacer 2, and large subunit ribosomal RNA
Rfam family: 5.8S ribosomal RNA (bases 1-120)
Source: RNAcentral
GAUGAAGAACGUAGCGAAAUGCGAUAAGUAGUGUGAAUUGCAGAAUUCAGUGAAUCAUCGAAUCUUUGAACGCACAUUGCGCCCUUUGGUAUUCCUUAGGGCAUGCCUGUUCGAGCGUCAUUUAAACCUUCAAGCUAAGCUUGGUGUUGGGUGACUGUCCGCUUCACUGCGGACUCGCCUCAAAAUUAUUGGCGGCCGGUACAUUGGCUUCGAGCGCAGCAGAAACGCGAACUCGGGCCCGUCGUAUUGGCUCCCAGAAGCUAUCUUCACAAUUUUGACCUCGGAUCAGGUAGGGAUACCCGCUGAACUUAAGCAUAUCAAUAAGCGGAUGA